RNAcentral lists this ribosomal RNA (465 nucleotides) under uncultured bacterium. RNAcentral's name for it is "bacterial SSU rRNA". It matches the Rfam family "Bacterial small subunit ribosomal RNA", at positions 331 to 793 of the family's 1533-position model. The record is from RNAcentral.
CCAGACUCCUACGGGAGGCAGCAGUGAGGAAUAUUGGUCAAUGGGCGGGAGCCUGAACCAGCCAAGUCGCGUGAGGGACGACGGUCCUAUGGAUUGUAAACCUCUUUUGUCGGGGAACAAAGGCGCCCACGGGUGGGCGGAUGAGUGUACCCGAAGAAAAAGCAUCGGCUAACUCCGUGCCAGCAGCCGCGGUAAUACGUAGGUGGCAAGCGUUAUCCGGAUUUAUUGGGUGUAAAGGGCGUGUAGGCGGGAAUGCAAGUCAGAUGUGAAAACUAUGGGCUCAACCCAUAGCCUGCAUUUGAAACUGUAUUUCUUGAGUGCUGGAGAGGCAAUCGGAAUUCCGUGUGUAGCGGUGAAAUGCGUAGAUAUACGGAGGAACACCAGUGGCGAAGGCGGAUUGCUGGACAGUAACUGACGCUGAGGCGCGAAAGCGUGGGGAGCAAACAGGAUUAGAUACCCUCGUAC